Molecule: ribosomal RNA, 440 nt
Filed under: uncultured bacterium
Lineage: Bacteria
Description: partial 16S ribosomal RNA
Rfam family: Bacterial small subunit ribosomal RNA
Source: RNAcentral
CCUACGGGAGGCAGCAGUAGGGAAUAUUGCUCAAUGGGGGAAACCCUGAAGCAGCAACGCCGCGUGUAGGAUGAAGGUUUUCGGAUUGUAAACUCCUUUUGUUAGAGAAGAUAAUGACGGUAUCUAACGAAUAAGCCCCGGCUAACUCCGUGCCAGCAGCCGCGGUAAUACGGAGGGUGCAAGCGUUACUCGGAAUCACUGGGCGUAAAGAGCGCGUAGGCGGGAUAGCAAGUCAGAUGUGAAAUCCUAUGGCUUAACCCUCGAACUGCAUUUGAAACUGUUAUUCUAGAGUAUGGGAGAGGUAGGUGGAAUUCUUGGUGUAGGGGUAAAAUGCGUAGAGAUCAAGAGGAAUACUCAGUGCGAAGGCGACCUGCUAGAACAUAACUGACGCUGAUGCGCGAAAGCGUGGGGAGCAAACAGGAUUAGAUACCCUAGUAGUC